Molecule: ribosomal RNA, 491 nt
Filed under: uncultured bacterium
Lineage: Bacteria
Description: partial 16S ribosomal RNA
Rfam family: Bacterial small subunit ribosomal RNA
Source: RNAcentral
AGUGAACGCUGGCGGUAGGCCUAACACAUGCAAGUCGAACGGCAGCACAGUAAGAGCUUGCUCUUACGGGUGGCGAGUGGCGGACGGGUGAGGAAUACAUCGGAAUCUACUUUUUCGUGGGGGAUAACGUAGGGAAACUUACGCUAAUACCGCAUACGACCUACGGGUGAAAGCAGGGGAUCUUCGGACCUUGCGCGAUUGAAUGAGCCGAUGUCGGAUUAGCUAGUUGGCGGGGUAAAGGCCCACCAAGGCGACGAUCCGCAGCUGGUCUGAGAGGAUGAUCAGCCACACUGGAACUGAGACACGGUCCAGACUCCUACGGGAGGCAGCAGUGGGGAAUAUUGGACAAUGGGCGCAAGCCUGAUCCAGCCAUACCGCGUGGGUGAAGAAGGCCUUCGGGUUGUAAAGCCCUUUUGUUGGGAAAGAAAAGCAGCAGGUUAAUACCCCGCUGUUCUGACGGUACCCAAAGAAUAAACACCGGCUAACUUCGU